GGGCAAUCCUUUUCUUCUGAGGAAACACAGACCAUCGGCUUCACCAGGCAGUGACUUCAUUCCCAGCACCAAUUUCAUCACUUUUCCCCACAGACACAAAGACCGUGAUGACUUCUCCCAGGUCCAGCAAAGGUUUCGUGUUCUUUAAAUUCCCUGAACCCCCAAAUUACUCCUUUUGUUUAGAACAGGAGCUGCACUGGCCGUGGAAAAAUAGAACUUAUUCCACAGUCCAUGAAAAUGGCAGCUUCUGCCAUUGCAAGUUAGCUUUGCUUUGCCUUUAGAGAGGCUCACUCAUCUGCUUCAUUAAAAACUACCUAAACCCAUGUUUUUAAGAUACCAGAUUACCUGACAGUACAACUAUGGCCAGCUUUUUACCUCAUUAUAGGAGUAACUGGGGUUCAUUUAAUGCCCUGCUUGAGCUUAACUUGCCUCCAUUGGAAUUGCUGCCAUUUUCCUGUUCACUUCAGAUGCACUCUGUCCUUGGUGCAGUCAAUGUUAGGGACAAAGCGACCAGGAAAGAAAGGGGAGCACUCAGAGCAACUGCCUGCAGAGCCAGCCCCAAACCACGCUGAGCCCUAAGCAAGGUGCAUUACCAACAACCACAUCAAGGACUCCUCUUCCUCUUCCUCAGCGCGGGCUCCAUUGGAUUAAGAGCCACGAGGCCCGAGUCAGGGAUGAGUUCUGCAAGCUGACGUCCUGCCUGCAGGCUGAACUUGUGAACCCAAUUGUCUGGACUGCGGAGACAGGAAAGCACCACCACCACCACCACCGUAAGCAACAUCAAGCUUUUAUUUCAGCCCCCUGCAACGCUGCAUCAGUGACUGAGAUGGAGAAAACCUCUUUAUAAUCAACAUGGUAAUAUGCAACAUUACAGUAAUCAGAACCCUGUCUCUACAAUACUUCUGUGGAACAGCAAGUGGUUUAAGCAAACAAAACAAGGCGAAGUUUUACUAUUAUUGGCUUAUUUCUGAACUGCAGUCUGCCCUCACGCUUUCCCAUUCAAUUACAGUAAAAAUUCCCAGCUCUGUGGCCCCCCAGGGUGCUGUCAUCAAUGUAUAAAAUACACCCUUACACUUCAUGUGGUUUGGAGUCCCACGACCACAAAUGAAAGUUACAGGCAUGAGAAACACCACGUGGAAGAGAAGGAAAUAGGUGCAGUUGGCUCAGAGUCACCCAGCGAGUAUGAAGUCAAAGCAGGCACAGCAGAAGGGGAGCCCGAGUGCAUUCCCAUUCCUGCUGCAGUGAGCACAUUGAUCAGAAUCGAGCUGAGGCUUUUCUGCUUCAUAUUUGAAAGCAUCAAGUUUUUCUCCAUCUGCACGAGCGAGGCUCCCCUUGGGUUAAAAUCCUUCUAGAAAUGGCUUUGCUCCAAGGUGGUUUUUCCCUUUGAGGUGUUUGAAAAGCCAGAAUUAUCUCCACUAGGACAAGCUGGGCACAACCCAUCUCACAGUGUUCUCCCCACUCGGCCUGCCCCAGCAAGGAGCGCUUCUGAACCCCUCUGUUUCACAGCACUGAGUCAAAGCGGGGUUGGGUUGGGUUGCCUUUUUAAGCGCCUUAUGAGCUCUGAGAACACACACGUGCACAGUCAGAUCCUUUUCCUGUCUGGUUGGGUUAUGCCCAUCUCAAGCAACGGCUCUUUCCGUUGUGCACACUUGUUCUCUGACACUUGGCUGCUGUGUCUGUUGAGAUGUGAACAAGCAGCAACCAGUGUGGGAGAAAACCAAGGCCAAGGCACACACUGGUACCCACCGGGCUGAGCAGAAAUCAUGUAUCAUAGAGGAAAACCUUCAAAGAGCUUUCUUUGGCUUUCUGCUUGCUUUUGAGAGGCACUUAGAAAGAAGAAAUCCAGGUGAGAAGGUCCAGACCCCAAAGAGGCGCUGGCACAUCCCACACCAACAUGCCAAAGGUAUAAAGGCACUUUCCUACAGGACACAGGGCUGAGCAGCUGGAUCAUGGAGACAGGAAUUAGGAACCUUCAGUGCCAAGCUGACCUCAGGGACUGGGUCCUGGGCAGAUUCCCACUGUGGGCCUCAGUUUCCCCACUCUAAGGGCAGCUCUAACACUUGGUCUUUUUGCUGAAACACUUUAGAGGUGCAUAGAGAGAAAGCAAUAAAUAAAACAUGAAGCUUAAA
Molecule: long non-coding RNA, 2129 nt
Organism: Pezoporus occidentalis (night parrot)
Lineage: Eukaryota; Metazoa; Chordata; Aves; Psittaciformes; Psittacidae
Exons: 2
Source: RefSeq, a predicted model, not a curated record